This 253-nucleotide ribosomal RNA is filed under the name uncultured bacterium. RNAcentral's name for it is "partial 16S ribosomal RNA". It matches the Rfam family "Bacterial small subunit ribosomal RNA", at positions 524 to 776 of the family's 1533-position model. The record is from RNAcentral.
UACGUAGGGGGCAAGCGUUGUCCGGAAUCAUUGGGCGUAAAGAGCGCGUAGGCGGUCCGGUAAGUCCGCUCUGAAAGUCCGGGGCUCAACCCCGGGAGGCGGGCGGAUACUGCCGGGCUAGAGUCCGGAAGAGGGUCGCGGAGUUCCCGGUGUAGAGGUGAAAUUCGUAGAUAUCGGGAGGAACACCAGUGGCGAAGGCGGCGACCUGGGCCAAUAUUGACGCUGAGGUGCGAAAGCGUGGGGAGCAAACAGG